AGUGAACGCUGGCGGUAGGCCUAACACAUGCGAGUCGAACGGCAGCACAGUGAGAGCUUGCUCUUACGGGUGGCGAGUGGCGGACGGGUGAGGAAUACAUCGGAAUCUACUUUUUCGUGGGGGAUAACGUAGGGAAACUUACGCUAAUACCGCAUACGACCUACGGGUGAAAGCAGGGGAUCUUCGGACCUUGCGCGAUUGAAUGAGCCGAUGUCGGAUUAGCUAGUUGGCGGGGUAAAGGCCCACCAAGGCGACGAUCCGUAGCUGGUCUGAGAGGAUGAUCAGCCACACUGGAACUGAGACACGGUCCAGACUCCUACGGGAGGCAGCAGUGGGGAAUAUUGGACAAUGGGCGCAAGCCUGAUCCAGCCAUACCGCGUGGGUGAAGAAGGCCUUCGGGUUGUAAAGCCCUUUUGUUGGGAAAGAAAAGCAGCAGGUUAAUACCCCGCUGUUCUGACGGUACCCAAAGAAUAAGCACCGGCUAACUUCGUG
Molecule: ribosomal RNA, 492 nt
Filed under: uncultured bacterium
Lineage: Bacteria
Description: partial 16S ribosomal RNA
Rfam family: Bacterial small subunit ribosomal RNA
Source: RNAcentral